AGAGCCGAAAGUCCAAACUUUCGGGGGCAAGGUUCGGGGGCUAAAAGACCUUCCAGAGCCGAAAGUCACCCACCUUCGGCAGCAUGUUCGGCGGCUGAACCUUCCCUCCAGAGAAGAAAGUCUCAACUUUCGGGAGCAAGGUUAGGCGGCCAAAACAGCCUCCUUAAGGGGUUCGGCGGCCGACCCUUGCUUCGGUGGCCGAACCUGAGUUUUGCCCAGAAGGCAGAACUCGGGUCAAACAUGCAUAUUCAGCCUCCCAAAACCUAAAAACACCCAAAAACAAGCAUACCAACUAGCUAUAACAUGCCUAUACCCUUUUCCAUGCAUAAAGGAGCUUAAAACUAGUUCAAACUCCUCCAACAACAUCAUAGCAUCUGGUCAACAUAUACUCAAUCUUCAAGAUCUAUUCUCUAACAUGCCAUAGGCCUCUCUCAAACCUUUUCAACCAUGCUUAAAACAUAAGGGGAGGUGAGGAUCCAUGCUUACCUCUUGAAGAACGAGAGGAUCGAUGGUCCUAACUCGGAGGUGUGGAGAAAAACGAUCCAAAAUCUCCAAAACUCUCAACUUUGCCUUCUUUUGCUCAAAACUUCAAAAACACAAGUUAAAACUCAUUAAAGCUUGCAUAAUUUGAAGAACAUAGUGAAAACAGCCAAAGGAGGCCACAAACUCACCUUUGCACGAAAAGAGGGUGAAAACACACCCCAUUUCUGGUCAAAGGAGCUUUUAUAGGUGGCCAACCGCCUCUCCUUCGGCGGCCAAAGCUGCAUGCGAAACCAUGCAACGUUCGGCGGCUGAACUUCACUUUCGGCGGCCGAACCUGGCGAUUGUUCCCUUGGUCUUUUUCCUUUUCAAAACUCAAUUUUCUUAAUCAAAAGCAUAAAAACAUGUAAAAACAUUUUGAAACACCUCUGUUUUACCCUUAUGGAAGGCUCUGUCAUCCUUGAAUCCCAGCUUCCAAUGGAGAUUCCGCCGGAAAGUAGAAAUUCCGAUGCCGGGUUCUAGCCAGGUAUUAUAUUCUCCCCCCCUUAAGAACAUUCGUCCCCGAAUGUUCCUUGCUAUCACAUGCAUACUAUAAGCCAUAACAUGAACAUAGCAGAGCAUAAAAACAACAAUAAAAAGAACAAAAACUCUAACCUUAAAAGAGGUAGGGGUACUGCUGGAGCAUAGACUCCCGUGUCUCCCAGGUACAUUCUUCGAUAUUAUGGUGGUUCCAAAGGACUUUCACCAUCGGGAUCUCCCUGUUUCUCAACUUUCUGAUCUGAGUGUCUAUGAUCCGCACUGGCUGCUCUAUAUAGGUGAGAUCUCCAAGGAUCUCUACAUCUGGUUCAGUGAGAAUUUUUCCCGGAUCUGACACAAAUUUCCGUAUCAUAGAAACGUGGAAAACCAGAUGGAUUCUUUUCAUAGAGCAGGUAAAUCUAACUUGUACGACACAUUCCCGACCUUCUGCAAAAUCUCGAAGGGUCCGAUGUACCGUGGAGCUAGCUUACCUUUCUUCCCAAAAUGAACCACCCCUUUCAUUGGAGACACCUUAAGCAAUACCAGAUCACCCUCCUAGAACUCUAUAUGCUUUCUGCGGACAUCUGCAUAGCUCUUCUGCCGACUAACAACAGUUCUGAUUCUCUCUCUGAUGAUGGGCACUACUCUGUUGGUAAUCUCUACCAACUCAGGCCCUGCCAAAGACCUCUCUCCGACCUCUUCCCAAAAAAUAGGUGACCUGCACUUCCUCCCAUAAAGAGCUUCAUAUUGAGCCAUCCCUAUGCUAGCAUGAUAGCUGUUAUUGUAGGCAAGCUCCACUAAAGGUAGAUGCUGCCUCCAAGAACCGCCAAAAUCUAGCACACACAUUCUGAGCAUAUCCUCUAUGGUCUGGAAGGUCCUCUCUGACUGUCCGUCAGUCUAUGGAUGGAAAGCAGUGCUAAAGUCCAACCUUGUGCCCAUAGCAUCCUGCAGACUCCGCCAAAAUCUAGAGGUGAACUGGGGUCCCCUAUCAGACACUAUAGAAACGGGAGCCCCAUGCAGUCUGACAACUUCUUCAACAUACACCUGCGCCAACUUGUCCAUAGAGUAGUUACUCCUGACAGGGAUGAAGUGAGCAGAUUUAGUCAGUCGAUCCACAAUCACCCAUAUGGAGUCUAGUCUGUUGAACGCCGCCGGUAACCCCACUACAAAAUCCAUAGCUAUAUUCUCUCAUUUCCACUCUGGAAUCGGCAGUGGGUUAAGCAUUCCAGCCGGCUUCUGAUGUUCUAGCUUCACCAUUUAACAUACCUCGCAGGCUGACACAAACUGUGCCACUUCUCUCUUCAUAGCUGGCCACCAAUACACUCUUUUCAAAUCCUGAUACAUCUUGAUGGCUCCAGGGUGAACACUAUAUCUGGCAUUAUGAGCUUCCCUCAUAAUGUCUCCCUUCAGACUGAUGUCAUCUGGUACACAUAGUCUGGUCCCGUAGCGAAGGAUCCCUUUGUCGUCAAAUCUGAACUCAUCACUCUUGCCUGACUGAAUAGUCCUGGCGAUCUUGAUUAACUCUGGGUCCUCAUGCUGUUUUUGAGCCACCUGCUCCAGAAACACGGGUGUAACUCUCAUCUGAGCUAUCAAAGCACCUGUACCAGAUAACUCUAACUGUAGCCCUUCCUGAACGAGCUUAUAGAACUCCCUCACCACCGGCCUCCUCUCUGCCGUGAUAUAGGACAAACUGCCAAGUGAUUUCCGGCUUAGGGCAUCUGCCACGACAUUUGCCUUACCCGGAUGGUACUGGAUCUUGCAAUCAUAGUCACUCAGCAAUUCUACCCAUCUUCUCUGCCUCAAAUUCAACUCUCUCUGACUCAAGAUGUGAUGUAGGCUCUUAUGAUCUGUGAAGAUCUCACAUUUAACCCCAUAGAGGUAAUGCCUCCACAUUUUGAGUGCAAAUAUUACAGCUGUCAUCUCAAGGUCAUGUGUAGGAUAGUUUAACUCAUGCUUCUUCAGCUGCCUAGAAGCAUAAGCAAUCACUCUGUCCUUCUGCAUCAACACACAACCCAGUCCCACUCGGGACGCAUCACAGAACACUGUGAAGUCUUCAUCACUAGUAGGCAGAGCUAACACCAGUGCUGAAGUCAACCUUUUCUUAAGCUCUUCGAAACUCUCUUCACACUGGUCAGACCAUGUAAACCUCUGGUUUUUCUUGGUUAAUCUGGUCAUAGGAGUCGCAAUCUUUGAGAAGUCCUGUACGAACCUCCUAUAGUAGCUUGCCAAACCCAAAAAACUCUUAAUCUCUGUCACUGUGGUGGGUCUAGGCCAGUUAGCUACAACCUCUAUCUUCUUGGGGUCCACUGCUAUGCCUUGGUCUGACACAACAUGCCCCAAGAAAGAAAUGCUCCUCAGCCAGAACUCACACUUGGAGAACUUGGCAUACAAGCCAUGCUCUCUCAAGGUCUGUAGGACGAUCCUCAGAUGAUGGGCAUGUUCCUUUGCAUUUCUGGAAUAUACCAAAAUAUCAUCUAUAAAGACAAUAACAAAGUGAUCCAAAUACUGUCUGAACACUCUGUUCAUGAGAUCCAUGAAUGCUGCAGGGGCAUUAGUUAACCCGAACGGCAUCACAAGGAACUCAUAAUGCCCAUAUCUGGUCCUGAAAGCUGUCUUUGGCACAUCCUCUUCCCUGAUUCUUAGCUGGUGAUAACCUGAUCUCAGAUCUAUUUUAGAAAAACAACCUACUCCUGCUAGCUGGUCAAAUAGAUCAUCGAUCCUGGGUAGAGGAUACUUAUUCUUGGUAGUGACUUUGUUCAAUUGCCUAUAGUCGAUACAAAGUCUGAGGGAUCCAUCCUUCUUUCUCACAAACAGCACUGGAGCACCCCAAGGUGAGGUACUUAGUCGGAUGAAACCCUUAUUUACCAACUCUUGCAACUGUUCUUUUAACUCUUUUACUUUGCUGGUGCCAUCCUGUAAGGAGGGAUAGAGAUCGAUCUGGUACCAGGCAACAACUCUAUCUCGAACUCUAUCUCCCUAUCAGGUGGUAGUCCUGGAAGCUCGUCUGGGAAAACAUCGGGAAAUUCUCUGACGACGGGCACUGAGGCGGGUUCCUUAACCUGACUGUCAAGCUCUCUAACAUGAGCUAGAAACCCCUGACACCCUCUCUUUAGCAACCUACGAGCCUGUAGGGCUGAUAUUAAACCUCUAGGCGUGCCCCUCCUGUCUCCUCUGAAGACAAACUCAGAUCCAUCCUGAUCUCUGAACCUGACUACCUUGUCUCUACAGUCCAAGGUAGCACCAUAUGCAGAUAGCCAAUCCAUCCCUAGAAUGACAUCAAAAUCCGUCAACUCUAGAACCACAAGGUCGGCUGGAAGGCAUCUACCAUCUAUAAACACUGGACUAUGACAGCAGACUGACUCUGUCACUGAUGGAUCACACUUGGGUCCACUGACCUAAAGGGGACACUCUAACCCAGAAGUCAUCAAACCCACUCUCUCUAUGGCUCUCGGAGCAACAAAUGAAUGAGAAGCACCGGGGUCCAAUAAAGCAUACACAUCAGAACAACCAAUGAUGAGAUUACCUGACACCACUGUGUUAGAUGUGUUCGCCUCCUGCUGUGUCAUAGUGAAGAUCCGAGCUGGAGCUGACGGACCUUCACCUCGGAAACCUGCUGAAGAAGAGGCUGCCCCUCUCCCUCUGCCUCUGCCCUGAGUCGUGGCUGGAGCUGAUGACUGUGGCAUACUGCCUAGAGCUGUCUGCUGGGACGGUGCCGUGAAAGCUGCUCUUGGACACUCACGAGCCAUGUGUCCCUCUUGGCCGCACCUGAAACAUGUUGUAGUUCCAAACCGACAAACUCCCCUAUGCAGCUUACCGCACUUCACACACACUGGAACCUCUGAGCCUGAGCUCGAGCCACUCCUUAAACCCAGACCUGCCUUUAGCUUAUUCCAGAACUUGUUCUUCUUUGGAUUCUUAGUGGAACCACUCCACUUUUUACUGCCUGAGGCCGCUGCACUCUGAGAAGAGGGAUCUGCCGUUCCCCUACCUGGGGUCUUAGCACCAGAGGACUGUGCCACCUGCUGUUUAACUGACCCCUGUAUAAUGGCACUGGCCUCCAUCUUUCGUGCGAUAUCCACCACUGUGUUGAAACUCUCCCUCUCUGCUGCUAGGAUCAAGGAGGAAUACCUAGGAUGAAGCCUCAUAGUAUACCUCCUAGCCUUUUUCUGAUCUGUAUCAUAGGCCUGACCCACAUACUGCAGCAACUCCAUGAACUUGUCAGUGUACUCAUCAACACUCAUGUCCUCUGUUUGCCUCAGCUGCUCAAACUCUACCAUCUUCAGCUCUCUUGAACUAUCUGGGAACGCCCAUCCAGCAAACUCAUUUGCAAACUCCCCCCAGGACAUGUUAUCCAGUCUGGGGUCCACAUAGUUAUUAAACCACUCCUUUGCUUUCUUGCAUUUGAGAGUGAACCCCGCCAUCUAAAUGGCUCUAGUAUCACUUGCCCCCAGCUCAUCUACUAUCAUUUUCACCGCUUUGAGACACUCAAAUGGAUCAUCUUGUGGUUUGUACUUAGGAGCAUCCAGUUUCAGGUAAUCAGUCAUCUUUACCUUGCUCCUCUCAGAUGGGCCAGGUUGAGGUGUUUGGAUAACAGGGGCUACUGGUUCUGCUGGUGGUGGAGGAGGUGCAGAACUUUCGGGAGUAGGGUAUGCUGGACUUGGGUAGAAGGGUGAGGGUGGAUACAUGGGGUACUGUGGAUAUGGUGGGUGAAAAGGUGGAUAAGGCAUAAAGGUGGGAUAUGGGUGAAAACUAGGAUAAUCCGAUGUACCCCCCAUCGAAUAUCCUGGGCCCUGUGGGAAGGGCUGAUACUGGGGUGGAUAGCCAAACCCCGAGGCCUGAGGGCCUCCCUGUGAUGAUCCCAUACCCACCUCAGAUGUGCCAACACCUAACCCUCCAUCUCUUCUCUGAUCCACAUCCAUAGCUUCCCUCACAUCUUCAGAUCCUCCACCCUGCUCUGAUUCCCUUCUACUUUCAUCAAAAGACCUUCUAGGGUCCCUUGAUGCUCUUUCUCUGCCUAUUCUCUGAGACAUUGCCCUUGGCAAAGCAGGAGGACGAGCAUCCAUGCCCUCAUUCUCUGGUGGAGCUCCAGUCAAUCUAGCAGAUCGAUGAGUCCCUCUCAUUUUAGCUUCUGAAAACAUAACAUAAACACAUAAACAUUAGCAUCAUAUGGUCCAUGUGGAAACACAUGAACCCUCAUCAUACAUAGCAUAUCCUUAAAUGCACAUGCAUAAAAUCAUGGCAUUACACGUCAUCAUCAAGACAGGACUCUACAUCCUAUCCUAGUGGACAUAAUCUUUCCUAUUGUGCUUGCCCUUCUAUAACCUCUAUGAGCCCGACACUCUCUAGGUCCGAUUAUAUGAACUUAGGGCUCUGAUACCAAUCUGUAACGACCUGGAAACUGGACCGCUACCGGCGCUAGGAUUCAGAUCGACUUAAGGUCGCCGGAACCCGUAGCAAGCCUACUAUGAACUCUGUGUACCUGAUAAAUCCCAUACAUGAUCAUACAUGUCCAUAAAAAUUUUGAAUUUUAUCCUUACCCAGCUUGACCUGUGCAUGCACUAAGCUCUAAACAUCAAACCCCAUAUACAUUACAUGACUUUACAUUAUCUCUUUAUACAUUACAUGUCCACUACUCUAUAUUAUUACACUUAGACUUUACCCUUGCUGAUCCUCCACCUUCUCUAUGGCCUUGAAAACAUGGGGUUAGGGAGAGGGGUGAGCUACUCGAGCCCAGUGAGCAGAACAAUAACACAUUUAAAAACAUGCUCUCAUGAAAUGCGUCACAUCACAAAUGAAUCACAUCACGGACGGACUGACCCAAAAAUCCCUCUGCUCUGUGUCCGGCCCUCAAAGGAGCUCCUCAGGACUUCUGUUACAUGCAUAUAAACUCUGUGCCCGGCCCUCAAGGGGCUCCUCAGGACUUCUGUUACAUAAACAUAAACAUCAGAGGGCUAAAGGGUCCUACUCUGUGUCCGUCCCCAUCAACAAGUAAUAAUGCAAUGCGUCAUCUUCGUGAACACUAAGGCAAUGCAAUACACCCUAACAUAACAUGGCAUUUAUGAUGCAUGAAUCAUGCUAAAAGCUUUCAUUAAUUGAAAAACAUAGUUCAGUUCCACUCACCUCUGUCAACUGCUGAACAGUCUCUGUAACUCUAACUCUGUGGGCCUCCUUGGUUCCUCGGGUCCGCACCUACACAGGUGGACUCAAAUGAGGACCAAACAUACUCUAACAUAGCUAUAAACAUCUCCCCAAAAACCCCCUAAAACAUCGUAAACAUGCAUGGAAAAAUGGGCAAAUGAAGGCUGGACAGGGCACUUUCGACGGCACGUUCGGCGGCCGAAAGAUGCACUUUCGGCGGCACCUUCGGCGGCCGAAAGUCCCCUCCAGAGCCGAAAGUCCAAACUUUCGGGAGCAAGGUUCGGGGGCUGAAAGACCUUUCAGAGCCGAAAGUCUCAACUUUCGGGGGCAAGGUUAGGCGGCCAAAAUAGCCUCCUUAAGGGGUUCGGCGGCCGAACCUUGCUCGGCGGCAGAACCUGAGUUUUGCCCAGAAGGCAAAACUCGAGUCAAACAUGCAUAUUCAGCCUCCCAAAACCUAAAAACACCCAAAAACAAGCAUACCAACUAGUUAUAACAUGCCUAUACCCUUUUCCAUGCAUAAAGGAGCUUAAAACUAGUUCAAACUCCAACAACAUCAUAACAUCUGGUCAACAUAUACUCAAUCUUCAAGAUCUAUUCUCUAACAUGCCAUAGACCUCUCUCAAACCUUUUCAACCAUGCUUAAAACAUAAGGGGAGGUGAGGAUCCAUGCUUACCUCUUAAAGAACGAGAGGAUCGAUGGUCCUAACUCGGAGGUGUGGAGAAAAACGAUCCAAAAUCUCCAAAACUCUCAACUUUGCCUUCUUUUGCUCAAAACUUCAAAAACACAAGUUAAAACUCAUUAAAGCUUGCAUAAUUUGAAGAACAUAGUGAAAACAGCCAAAGGAGGCCACAAACUCACCUUUGCACGAAAAGAGGGUGAAAACACACCCCAUUUGAGGUCAAAGGAGCUUUUAUAGGUGGCCAACCGCCUCUCCUUCGGCGGCCAAAGCUGCAUGCGAAACCAUGCAACGUUCGGCGGCCGAACUUCACUUUCGGCGGCCGAACCUGGCGAUUGUUCCCUUGGUCUUUUUCCUUUUCAAAACUCAAUUUUCUUAAUCAAAAGCAUAAAAACAUAUAAAAACAUUUUUAAACACCUCUGUUUUACCCUUAUGAAAGGCUCCGUCAUCCUUGAAUCCCAGCUUCCAACGGAGAUUCCGCCGGAAAGUAGAAAUUCCGAUGCCGGAGUCUAGCCGGGUAUUACAGUGGGUACAUGACUUCCCUGAUAAAGCCUGCCUCUUCUAACUUCCGUACCUCCUCCCUGGUGGCCUGUUGCUUCUCCCUUCCUACCACCCUUUUAUUCUGCUUCACUGGUCUAGCUUCGAGGAGGACAUUCAGCUUGUGCGUCAUCACCUCGGGGUCAAUCCCGGGCAUGUCAGAAGGCUUCCAGGCGAAGCUUGACGCGUGACCUCGGAUCAGGGCCGUGACUUCAGUUUUUUGCUCCUCAGUCAGGCCGGCGUUAAGACUGAAGACUUUAUCCGUCUCGAUUUCUGAUAGAGGAAAAGUUUCCAACUCUCCGGCUGGCUCUGUUCUGGCCUCUUUUUUCUCGUCCCUAACCUCCUGGACUUCUGAGUCAAGCCUUUCUGCUGCCAAGCUCGGCUCUGAUACAGUGGCCAGAUACACUGCUCUCGCCUCUUCUUGACUUCCUCUGACUACGCCCACUCCUGCCUCUGUUGGGAACUUCAUGGCCAGAUAUCUGAUGCUGGUUACGGCCUCAAAGUCAAACAGCGCAGGUCUCCCCAGGAUUGCGUUGUAGCUCAAUGGGAGCUUGACCACUAAGAACACCACAUAGUGAGUGCGAGUCCUUGGUGCCUCUCCUAAAGUGAGAGCCAGCUUUACUUUCCCCUCCACCGGCACCGGGAUUCCUCCGAUCCCUUUCACUGGGGCUUGGUCUCGGACUAGUUGCUCCUCGGGAAUUCCCAUCUGUUGGAAGACUCUGUAGGGUAGCAGGUUCACCUUGCUUCCAUCAUCCACUAAGAUCUUCUUCACCCGGAAGUUGUGAAUGAUGGCUUGAAUGACAAGGGCGUCGUCAUGAGGCAUCUGAAUACCCUGAGCAUCCUCCGGAGAGAAAGUGAUGGCCAACGGAGAGUGCUCGACGACCUGCAUGACCUCAGCAUUGCUGCUUUCCCCCUCUCGACUCCUCUUCUUCCCCCUUCGGCUCAUCUGACCUCCUGUGCCUCCAACAAUCAUGUUGAUGGUCCUACUAGACCCAUCAUUCACCGGUCCGCCUCCCGUUCUCUUCGGUGCUUGGGCUGCCGGGUUAGGUUGAGGCCUCUGUCCCUCCGACUUUUUCAUGAAGUUUCUGAGGUGUCCCCUUUUUAUUAG
This 9456-nucleotide long non-coding RNA is filed under the name Manihot esculenta (cassava). RNAcentral describes it as "long non-coding RNA (MESC_LNC007849)". Lineage: Eukaryota; Viridiplantae; Streptophyta; Magnoliopsida; Malpighiales; Euphorbiaceae. The record is from RNAcentral.